This is a non-coding RNA of Pelobates cultripes (western spadefoot toad), 982 nucleotides long. The record is from the annotation of a GenBank genome assembly. Lineage: Eukaryota; Metazoa; Chordata; Amphibia; Anura; Pelobatidae.
CCCCUCUUUUUUGACACAAUGGUACUUUUAACAGGGCCUGUGCGCAAAAGCUAUAACAGUAUUAUAACACAGGCUAUAUUAAUCAUACCGUAGAAGGAUAUUUCUGUGGCACCCAGCGCGUUGCUCUGGUCUUUGCCUUUGAGCGGCUAAACGGGCCGUCAUUUAACUGGGCCUUCACGCAAGCUCUGUGACAACAUUGAACAUGAGCAAUAUUAACCAUUUACAGAAAAAAGAGGAUGUUCCUGUUUCACAUAGUUCGUUGAACUUUUAGUCUUCCAAUAUGGCGGCUAAACAGGCCUUCAUCCUCAGAUACCACCAACAUUUAUACUGAGUUAUAUCAUAGUUUCUAGGACUAUCCAGCCCCUCUCUUUUGACACAAUGGUACUUUUAACAGGGCCUGUGCGCAAAAGCUAUAACAGUAUUAUAACACAGGCUAUAUUAAUCAUACAGUAAAAGGAUAUUUCUGUGGCACCCAGCGCGUUGCUCUGGUCUUUGCCUUUGAGCGGCUAAACGGGCCGUCAGUUCUUUCGGGUCUUGCUAGGUGAGCCCACCAUGUGCCAGUCCUCUUGCAGUCGUCGCUGCGGUGAUCCUCUACUCACGUCAGGCUCCUUGUAAGGGAAGAGGCCCCAUUCCGCCAGUAAUCUCAUACCCACUUCGGGUUCCUCUGCUAUGUGAUUCUUCCCCCCUUUCCACACGAUCACCUUCGUGGGGUAUCCCCAGCGGUAGGGUAUAUUGUUAUUUCGCAGCGUUUUUGUUACUGUGAUGAAGUCCCGUCGGCGGGCCAUGGUGAGUGCUGACAGGUCCGCGUACAGUUGAAUUGUUCCAUAGGGGUCAGGUAAUUUGGGAAGUUUUCGAGCCGCGGCUAGCAGAGUCUCCUUUGUUCUAUAAUAAUGAAAGCGCACCACCGUGUCUCUCGGCGUGUCUUGAGCGAGUCUCGGUGGGCGCGGAAGACGGUGGGCCCUGUCCAUAAGCCACUCUGAUU